CAGCAGCCGCGGUAAUACGUAGGGUGCGAGCGUUAAUCGGAAUUACUGGGCGUAAAGCGAGCGCAGACGGUUAUUUAAGCAGGAUGUGAAAUCCCCGGGCUUAACCUGGGAACUGCGUUCUGAACUGGAUAGCUAGAGUGUGUCAGAGGGGGGUAGAAUUCCACGUGUAGCAGUGAAAUGCGUAGAGAUGUGGAGGAAUACCGAUGGCGAAGGCAGCCCCCUGGGAUAACACUGACGUUCAUGCUCGAAAGCGUGGGUAGCAAACAGGAUUAGAUACCCCCGUAGUCCCUGUCUCUUAUAC
RNAcentral lists this ribosomal RNA (301 nucleotides) under uncultured bacterium. RNAcentral describes it as "partial 16S ribosomal RNA". It matches the Rfam family "Bacterial small subunit ribosomal RNA", at positions 509 to 807 of the family's 1533-position model. The record is from RNAcentral.